Molecule: ribosomal RNA, 548 nt
Filed under: uncultured Cryptophyta
Lineage: Eukaryota; Cryptophyceae
Description: SSU rRNA
Rfam family: Eukaryotic small subunit ribosomal RNA
Source: RNAcentral
UAUAGCGUAUAUUAAAGUUGUUGCAGUUAAAAAGCUCGUAGUCGGAUGUCGGGCUCGGGCAGGCUGUCGGCUUCGGUCGGACGGCAGGCUCGGGUCUUUCUGCCUGAGGAUCCCGUGCACUUUAUUGUGGGCGGGGGACGCAGGCCGUUUACUUUGAAAAAAUUAGAGUGUUCAAAGCAGGCCUACGCUUGAAUACAUUAGCAUGGAAUAAUGGAAUAGGACUUUGGUGCUAUUUUGUUGGUUUAUGGGACCGAAGUAAUGAUUAACAGGGACAGUUGGGGCCGUUUAUAUUUCGUUGUCAGAGGUGAAAUUCUUGGAUUUACGAAAGAUAAACUUCUGCGAAAGCAUUCGGCAAGGAUGUUUUCAUUGAUCAAGAACGAAAGUUAGGGGAUCGAAGACGAUCAGAUACCGUCGUAGUCUUAACCAUAAACUAUGCCGACUAGGGAUCAGUGGAUGUCAAUUUGCGACUCCAUUGGCACCUUGUGAGAAAUCAAAGUUUUUGGGUUCCGGGGGGAGUAUGGUCGCAAGGCUGAAACUUAAAGGAAUUG